This 225-nucleotide long non-coding RNA is filed under the name Elaeis guineensis (African oil palm). Its description in RNAcentral is "long non-coding RNA (EGUI_LNC066321)". The record is from RNAcentral. Lineage: Eukaryota; Viridiplantae; Streptophyta; Magnoliopsida; Arecales; Arecaceae.
GCAAAUUAUAAUAAAUAAUAGAGGCUCCCAAUAACUAAAUUUCUGUAGCACAUUAAGUAAUAAACUUUAGUGAUAUCCGAAUAGAAUCUCCCAUCUUUAAUACUAUGUUAUCUUUUCCUUUAAUGAUGAGUAUAAAUGAUAGAUAAUGAAGCAUCUUAUUUUUAUAAAUAUUAAGUAUCGAUUAUACUUAUACAAUUGAAAUAAGCAUAAUUGAUACUCGAGAAU